CUUGCCCUUAUGGCCAUUUUCUACGCCGCUUCCACCGUUGGUGCCGCCGCCGCCGCCGCUGCCACUGGGAACAGGCGUCGGCGACGGUGUCUGCCCCGCUGGAGCAGGGGACGGGGGAACCUCACCAGGGCAAGGCCCCAAGGGUCCGCCGCACAAGCCCGUCCCCAGGAACGCGGAGCGCGGCUGCGACCGAAGUGAGGCCGGGAUGGAUCCGUUCAGUUGGUUGAACGAGACAUUGAACUGCUGCAGCGGCGGUAGCUUCACAUCGGAAAUCUCGCCGGAAAAGCGAUUAUUCUCAAGGAGCAGGACCCUGAGGUGUGUGAGGUUGCCGAGCUCCGUCGGAAUGGGCCCGGACAGGUCGUUCCCGCCGAGCGAGAGCCUGACGAGCCCCGGGAGAGCGAGAAUCGCCUGCGGGAACCCGCCCGACAGCCUGUUCCCGUUGAGGAAGACGUUACGAAGCGCGGCGGCGGAAGACAGGUCGGCUGGGAGCGCGCCGGAGAGCCCGUUGAGGCGGAGGCUGAGCGUGUGCAGCGCCGUAAGGUUCCCGAGCGUCCCCGCGGGGACUGUCCCCGAGAGCGUCGCCCCGGGAAGCCGCAGCACCGCCACGCGGCCGUGCUCGCAGGUGACCCCCGUCCACGAGCACGCGCCCGCGACGUCCGAGGCGUUCCACGCCAGGCGCCGCCCCACGGCGUCACGGAACGCCACGAGCGCCCGCGCGUCGCUCGCGAGGUCGUCGGCCCCCGCCAGCGACGCGACGACGAGGAGCAUGGGGAACGCGAAACGGAUGCGCCGGAGCCGCCACGGCGGUGGCGAAGGCGACCGCAUCGCGGCGGCGGCUGAGGUGGCGAGAGCGGGCCCGGUCCGGAACGAGCCGAGGUUGAGAGUGGUCUCGUCCGUUUCUUCGUUUCUUGCGUCUGGCGUGCGGGGAGAGAAAAACCCUAAAACUCCCGUGCGCAUUUCGUGGAAUGGGCCUCGGGGAGUUUAGUAAAUUCGCGGGUGGGAGGUUGCGCCGCUCGGGGUGGUGGGGCCGGGCGAGAGGGAUGGGAAUGCGAGGCAACAAACAGAUGCCUGGGCCCUGGAGUGUGGAGGGGCUAGGUGGGAAUGCGGACGGAAACGAAUAAA
RNAcentral lists this unclassified non-coding RNA (1122 nucleotides) under Zea mays. Its description in RNAcentral is "misc RNA Zm00001eb216300". The record is from RNAcentral. Lineage: Eukaryota; Viridiplantae; Streptophyta; Magnoliopsida; Poales; Poaceae.